This 69-nucleotide transfer RNA is filed under the name Tyraphus nitidus. RNAcentral describes it as "tRNA-Met". The record is from RNAcentral. Lineage: Eukaryota; Metazoa; Arthropoda; Insecta; Coleoptera; Staphylinidae.
AAAAAAAUAAGCUAAUCAAGCUAAUAGGUUCAUACCCUMUUUAUAAAGGUACAAAUCCUUUUUUUUUUG